Molecule: ribosomal RNA, 503 nt
Filed under: uncultured bacterium
Lineage: Bacteria
Description: partial 16S ribosomal RNA
Rfam family: Bacterial small subunit ribosomal RNA
Source: RNAcentral
AUUGAACGCUGGCGGCAGGCUUAACACAUGCAAGUCGAGCGGGGUGAUGGUGCUUGCACUAUCACUUAGCGGCGGACGGGUGAGUAAUGCUUAGGAAUCUGCCCAUGAGUGGGGGUCAACAUCUCGAAAGGGAUGCUAAUACCGCAUACGUCCUACGGGACCAAGCAGGGGAUCACUUGUGACCUUUCGCUAAUCGAUGAGCCAAAGUCGGAGUAGCUAGUUGGUGGGGUAAAGACCAACCAAGGCGACGCUCUGUAGCGGGUCUGAGAGGAGGAUCCGCCACACUGGGACGGAGACACGGCCCAGACUCCUACGGGAGGCAGCAGUGGGGAAUAUUGGACAAUGGGGGUAACCCUGAUCCAGCCAUGCCGCGUGUGUGAAGAAGGCCUUAUGGUUGUAAAGCACUUUAAGCGAGGAGGAGUCUCUUUUGGUUAAUACCCAAGAUGAGUGGACGUUACUCGCAGAAUAAGCACCGGCUAACUCUGUGCCAGCCGCCGCGGUAA